GCAAGUGAUCGAUUGAUUAAUCAAGCAAGCAAUAUACGUACGACAAGCUAUGCUCUACUACUACCUCCGUAAGCAAAUAUAAGAUGAUUUAGAUCACUACUUUAGUGAUAUAAAACAUCUUAUAUUAUUUUACAGAGGGUUAGUCAAUGACAUAUAUCCCGGAGGUGUUGCAGUGGGAAAAAAAGAUGUUGCAGUGGAUGGGUCUUCUAGGUGGGGCACUGGAAGCCGGAGGGGACGUUCUUGCCGCAGUAGUUGACGAGCAGGCUGAGGUCGACGGGGACGUUGAGGUGGAUGCCCAGGAUGUUGGCCUUGAGCGCCGUGCACAGGCACACGGCUGCAUCCAGGUCCGCCAGCCCCUGGAGCAGCGAGCAGCACGUCUGCUUCGGCGUCGUCACCGGCCGCAGGUUGAUCAGCCCGCCCAGCACGUUCGCGCACGCCCCAAGCUUCAGCGCGUCAAUAGGGCAGCCACCGGUCCCUCCUCCUCCACCCUUGCCUCCACCGCCGCCGCCCCCUCCUCCUCCUCCCCCGCCCGGCGGCGGCGGGCUAGGCAGCUUGCAGCCGCAGUCGUCGGCCAAGGUGAAGAAGAGCAGGUUCAGGGCAAGCAGCGUGGCGAUCACCGCCGCUUUCGUCGCCAUAGGUUGCCUACCGAGCUGCUGUGCGUCUACUAGAGGGUUUAUUAGAGCUAGCUCGCUCUUGGCUGUGUGUGUCCAGUGCAAGGGACCUCGGCGUGCUACUUAUAGACCAAGAAGAAUGGAAGGGGUUGAAAUAGCUCCUAGCUUAGUUAGCCCAUCGAGGCCUCUUUUAGUUCAUAGGGUAGGAAAAUCAUAGGAAUAGGAAAGUUAUAGGAAAUGAGAUGACAUGUAUCUUACAUCCUAUGAGUAGGAAUAGGAAAGGAGAUGCUCUUUGAUUCACAUGAUAGCAUUUUUUCCAUUGAGUCUAGGCUAAUGUUUAUUUUCUUAUGAAAUAUGGAGGAUAGAAAGAAUUCCUUCACAAAAAUAGGAUUCCAUUCCUACAAAUCAAAUGGCUCUAAAGGAAUUUUUCAUAUAGAAAUCCUAUACUACGAAAUUCCUACAAGAUUCCUCUAAACCAAAGGAGGCCUGAUAUUUUACUCACUACACCUAUGUAAUGUAAUCGAUCAGUCUCUCCGUGUGAAGACGGCCAAGAGAUAGCUGAUCGCAACAGGUGCAUGAUGCAUGUGAGCUGGCUUUGGCAUUGGCCUUUGGGGAUAGGUGGAAGGAGACAAGGAGAUGUUUGGAAGGUUGCCGAUACAGGAUUUAAAGAAAAUUUGUAUAUGUCAAAUUAUAUAAAUGAAACAAUAUCUAGACUGUUGAUCCAAAAUCCGACUGACUCGCGGAGCGCAAAGUCGACAAUAACGUAGUUCGCUGACUUAUGCAUUCAAAUUUGGCGAAUCCCAAGCGACAUGGACAUACGUCUGCGGCUUUUGUCCAUUUCUCGUUGAGAUCACAAUACUAUUUCUUGGAGCAUCCUGUUUUAAGGUUUUGUCGCACCAAUGUACACAAUUUAUCAUCCAAAAAGAAUGUACUCCAUCCAUUCUAAAAUACUUGUCGUGCUUUUAGUUCAUAUUUGAACUAAAAGUCAAAAUAUUUUUCGGAGAUAUUAAUUUUCCUGAAGAGGCGGAUAAGAUAUUAGGUGGCUGUUUGAUACCGCCAGAAAGACAAAGAAAAAAAGGUUCUAAGGAAUCAAAAUAAAGGAAAAAUUGGGUCUAUGUUCAACGGAAAAAAAAUCUUCAAGAACUCAAAACAUGCCAAUGUGAUAAAAGAAUGGAAUCCUAGAAUUCCUGUUCAAUAACUUUUUGGGCCCUUAGGCGCUAUUGUAGCUAGUAGUAUAUCACAUUUUCUUCAUCGUACUAUUUACUAACACAUAAUAAAAUCCUGUUAAAAUUUUAGUUCAAAUUUAAACUAGAACCACGACAAGUAUUUUGGAACGGAGGACAUAGCUGUUUAAAGAUGGAAUUAACUCAUUGUAUUUUGCUCAAUUAUUUCCUCCCAAACUAAUUGACCAGGACCGGCCUGCCAGAAUCAUGUGGUGCCAGUGACUAAAAUGACACAUAGGCCAUCUAUUGAAUUUUUAUGUUACCAUGAUGUCGUAAAUCAUUUUUACCUGUGCAUUUUCUAUCUAAUAGAGAACUAGGAAAAUAAUCCCAUUAGUCUGUCUGAGGCGAGGUGCAACUCUGAAUUAGACAUGACGCGGUUGGCUAUGGCGUCACUGACAGAGCCUACGCAAAUGGUUGAUAGGCACGGGUGCAGGCGGAAGAUGCUCAACUAUCAUUGAGAAAGGCAAGGCGUAGAGGGAUGGCUGAGGUGGCAAGGAACAAUAGUUGGGGUAAAGCUCCGACGGGUAGCGAGGUUCGGGUCAACGGGACGGGGCGAUGGUCAAAGGAAGAAGAAGGUUACUCGGGCGGGAUUCACUAAAACUAAAAAGAAUGGGUUUGUCUAGGGCACAUCUAGAUGUGCUUUAGUUAUUGCACAUCUAAAUGACUCAAUCAAACUAGAAAGAAAAAGAAAAAGGACUAAUAAAAAUGCUUGCACGAAUCUUUAUGUGGACUCAAUGGCAUAGGACUUAGAUGUGCAAUACUUACGGCACAUCUAGAUGUGCUUCAGCAAAACUGAAAAAGAAUCUCAUGUGACCAGAAAUGCCUUUUGGUUCUCUGGCUACAAGGAGCUUUUUUUUUUUAAAUAAAAGAAGUAUCAAUGUUUCAAAACUCCUAAAAAAAAGAACACCGCAAUAUCAUAUGGAUGUAUACUCCAUGUGUGCAAGUUUUCAUAAACAUGCGAGCUACACAAAAAAAGUGGAAAUUGUUGGUUUUAUAGUGAUAUUUUCCCUACUUUUUUGUGUAGCUCUCAAAUCAGUGUAUUGUCUCAUGAAAUUUUACACACAUGUACUCCUAGUAUACAUCCAUAUGUCAAUGUUUGAAUUUUUCCAGGAUUUUUUGAACCUUUGAAACGUGAUUUUUUGAAUCUUUCAGAAAAAAGGCUCCAUGUAGCCCAGCAUCAGAACGCUGGACUCCUCAGUUGACUGAUGCAUAGGUGCUUCCUUUUAACCGUGGCGGAUUGUGUACUAUUAUGUCUGUUUCUAAAUAUAAAACUUUUGCGUCUUAUAUUUAAGGAUCGGAGGGUGUACUACUUGGUACUGUAAACUCUUAAUUUAUACGUUGCCGUAGAAAAACAUCUUAAUUUAUACUUGUCAUCAUGGUUCCUUACAUUCUUGACUCGAUUGAAAGAAAUUGACAGCAUUUACCAAAAGGACUAUUCCAUUCACGCGCCAAAUGUACAUGUCCUAGCAUUAGCAAAUUUAGCAUGGUCGAUUGACAACAUCAUCAAGACACGGUGCGUGCGUAGACAAUGUCUAGCAAAGAGACACAUUGCUGUUUGCCGUAGGUACGUACGUGGUGAAGAUGGAGGCAGGGUCGACACGCAGAUCUUUUCCCCGUCAUCUUUGACCGUGACACGUGCAUGCCUUGUAGAGCGCGGUCCACACAUGCUUGCAGGCAUAUGAACAAAGUGCUUGUUACCUAGCUCCUCUCUUUGGCUUGGCACUUGCAUCUGCUGGCCAAUCACCCUCAGCCAGGUGCUUAUGUUUAGCUAGCUAGCAUUUCUUUUUUGAAAUGGAGAGAUCUGAAAGAUGGUUAGGCUCUGGCUAGGAGCCUAUACGUUACGUGUCCUUUUUUUGUGCAUCACGCCGACCGGAAGAUUGAUAUGUGUAGCUAGCCUGCUUCUGCUUGUAGCACAUUUCAGAUCACAGUACAGUGUACAUAAUUGAAGCACUAAACAUAUAUACAUAUAUGUGCAUGCAAGUGGGUGAUUGAUACGUGUCGAUCCACGCACCUCGGUCCUAAUGAGACGCGACACAGAUCUCAUCGUGCGCAUGGAGUAUGCACGGAGAGAAUAAUUAACCAGAUGCUAACACGAUAGCUGAGGCAAAAUCUAGAGUGACAAAAAUAAAAUUUUCCCAAAGAAUUAACCAGUGCACAGAAUGAAUGAAUUCACAGACGCUAACAAACUGCAUGUACCACCCUAAGAAAUCAAAGGCGCACAGAAUUUUAAUCGAAUCAAUUAGCAAAUGCUAAAGAUCACACAGAGACAGUUGACAUAUGAUAUUAAUUACUUUACUACAAUUGUGGAGGAGCAACCUCUUUUUGAAGGAAAUAUAAUAGCAGCCAGCGGUACACGCAUGAGAUCAUAUGUGGCUGAGAACUGGAUCCAUGGUCCAUAGAGUACCGUAACCAGUUCGAUGACAAGCAGUACGUGGUACAAACGGUACUACCACACACACAGAGAGAAAUAUGCAAGUUUAGCAACUAGCAAGAGCGAUGAUAAAUUAUGAAGCAAAUAACGUAUACGACUAGCUAUAGAGCACUAGUCAAUGGAUGGAUUGUAGAUCAUGCGUGCGUGCAUGCACGUACGUACGUAUAGUGGAUGCCUGCAUGCAGUGGACGAUGGAUCUCUCGGGUCUUCUCUUCUAGCGGGGGCACUGGAAGCCGGAGGGGACGUUCUUGCCGCAGUAGUUGACGAGGAGGCUGAGGUCGAUGGGCACGUUGAGGUUGAUGCCCAGGAUGUUGGCCUUGAGCGCCGUGCAGAGGCACACCGCCGCCUCCAGGUCGGCGAGCCCCUGGAUUAGCGAG
This 4642-nucleotide long non-coding RNA is filed under the name Triticum aestivum (bread wheat). RNAcentral describes it as "long non-coding RNA (TAES_LNC006493)". Lineage: Eukaryota; Viridiplantae; Streptophyta; Magnoliopsida; Poales; Poaceae. The record is from RNAcentral.